AGGAAGUAAAAAACGUAACAAGGUCUCCGUAGGUGAACCAGCGGAGGGAUCAUUACCGAGUUUACAACUCCCAAACCCAAUGUGAACGUUACCAAACUGUUGCCUCGGCGGGGUCACGCCCCGGGUGCGUCGCAGCCCCGGAACCAGGCGCCCGCCGGAGGAACCAACCAAACUCUUUCUGUAGUCCCCUCGCGGACGUAUUUCUUUACAGCUCUGAGCAAAAAUUCAAAAUGAAUCAAAACUUUCAACAACGGAUCUCUUGGUUCUGGCAUCGAUGAAGAACGCAGCGAAAUGCGAUAAGUAAUGUGAAUUGCAGAAUUCAGUGAAUCAUCGAAUCUUUGAACGCACAUUGCGCCCGCCAGUAUUCUGGCGGGCAUGCCUGUCCGAGCGUCAUUUCAACCCUCGAACCCCUCCGGGGGAUCGGCGUUGGGGAUCGGGACCCCUCACACGGGUGCCGGCCCCUAAAUACAGUGGCGGUCUCGCCGCAGCCUCUCCUGCGCAGUAGUUUGCACAACUCGCACCGGGAGCGCGGCGCGUCCACGUCCGUAAAACACCCAACUUUCUGAAAUGUUGACCUCGGAUCAGGUAGGAAUACCCGCUGAACUUAAGCAUAUCAAUAAGCGGAAGAAAAGAAACCAACAGGGAUUGCCCCAGUAACGGCGAGUGAAGCGGCAACAGCUCAAAUUUGAAAUCUGGCCCCUCCGGGUCCGAGUUGUAAUUUGUAGAGGAUGCUUUUGGUGAGGUGCCGCCCGAGUUCCCUGGAAC
Molecule: ribosomal RNA, 765 nt
Filed under: Trichoderma asperellum
Lineage: Eukaryota; Fungi; Ascomycota; Sordariomycetes; Hypocreales; Hypocreaceae
Description: eukaryotic LSU rRNA
Rfam family: 5.8S ribosomal RNA (bases 240-393)
Source: RNAcentral